UACGUAGGGUGCGAGCGUUGUCCGGAAUCAUUGGGCGUAAAGAGCGCGUAGGCGGCCCAGUAAGUCCGCUCUGAAAGUCAGAGGCUCAACCUCUGAAUGCGGGUGGAUACUGCUGGGCUAGAGUCCGGAAGAGGCGAGUGGAAUUCCUGGUGUAGCGGUGAAAUGCGCAGAUAUCAGGAGGAACACCGAUGGCGAAGGCAGCUCGCUGGGACGGUACUGACGCUGAGACGCGAAAGCGUGGGGAGCGAACAGG
Molecule: ribosomal RNA, 253 nt
Filed under: uncultured bacterium
Lineage: Bacteria
Description: partial 16S ribosomal RNA
Rfam family: Bacterial small subunit ribosomal RNA
Source: RNAcentral